UGUUCUGAAGGUGGGUAUUAUGUUUGUUUUUAAAUUGUAUUAAAUUUUUGUUUUUGUUUUGUUUUCAGGUGCGUUUGUAGCGCAGCUAAUUUAGAGGCCGUCGUAGCUGUGAUGCCGUGGUUUUUGGGUUCUUCAAGCUUGCGAUUAAUAUGGAGGUACAUUUGUUGCAGCUUUUAUUGAGGCCGUCGCAGCUGAGAUCCGCGUGGUUUUGAGUUCUUCACGUUUGAGAUUAAUCUGGAGUUUUCAGGUACGUUUGUAGCAGCUGAUAUUAAAGCCGUCGCAGCUGGUAUGCCAAGGUUUGCGAUUAAUCUAGAGGUACCAGUUUGCGAUUAGUCUGGAGUUUUCAGGUACGUUUGUAGCA
This is a long non-coding RNA of Drosophila sechellia, 361 nucleotides long. RefSeq lists it as uncharacterized. The record is from RefSeq and is a predicted model, not a curated record. The transcript has 5 exons. NCBI's taxonomy places the organism in Eukaryota, Metazoa, Arthropoda, Insecta, Diptera, Drosophilidae.